AACGAACGCUGGCGGCAGGCCUAACACAUGCAAGUCGAACGAGUAAGAGCCGUAGCAAUACGGAGUUCUGCUAGUGGCGCACGGGUGAGUAACGCGUGGGAACGUGCCUUGGAGUUCGGGAUAACAGUUGGAAACGACUGCUAAUACCGAAUAUUCCCUCAGGGGGAAAGAUUUAUCGCUCCAAGAUCGGCCCGCGUAAGAUUAGGUAGUUGGUGGGGUAAUGGCCUACCAAGCCUACGAUCUUUAGCUGGUCUGAGAGGACGACCAGCCACACUGGAACUGAGACACGGUCCAGACUCCUACGGGAGGCAGCAGUGGGGAAUAUUGGACAAUGGGCGAAAGCCUGAUCCAGCCAUACCGCGUGAAUGAUGAAGGCCUAGGGUUGUAAAAUUCUUUUGCAGGGGAAGAUAAUGACGGUACCCUGCGAAUAAGCUCCGGCUAACUUCGUGCCAGCAGCCGCGGUAAU
RNAcentral lists this ribosomal RNA (466 nucleotides) under uncultured bacterium. Its description in RNAcentral is "bacterial SSU rRNA". It matches the Rfam family "Bacterial small subunit ribosomal RNA", at positions 29 to 524 of the family's 1533-position model. The record is from RNAcentral.